GUCCACGCUGUAAACGAUGUCGACUUGGAGGUUGUUCCCUUGAGGAGUGGCUUCCGGAGCUAACGCGUUAAGUCGACCGCCUGGGGAGUACGGCCGCAAGGUUAAAACUCAAAAUGAAUUGACGGGGGCCCGCACAAGCGGUGGAGCAUGUGGUUUAAUUCGAUGCAACGCGAAAAACCUUACCCACCUUUGACAUGUACGGAAUCCUUUAGAGAUAGAGGAGUGCUCGAAAAGAGAGCCGUAACACAGGUGCUGCAUGGCUGUCGU
This 267-nucleotide ribosomal RNA is filed under the name uncultured bacterium. RNAcentral's name for it is "partial 16S ribosomal RNA". It matches the Rfam family "Bacterial small subunit ribosomal RNA", at positions 793 to 1055 of the family's 1533-position model. The record is from RNAcentral.